AUGUCCAAACCCCAGCUCAACCCUAACCCUAACCCUAGCUUCAUGUCCAAACCCCGGCUCCACCCUAACCCUAACCCUAGCUUCAUGUCCAAACCCCAGCUCAACCUUAACCCUAACCCUAGCUUCAUGUCCAAACCCCAGCUCAACCUUAACCCUAACCCUAGCUUCAUGUCCAAACCCCGGCUCAACCAUAACCCUAGCUUCAUGUCCAAACCCCAGCUCAACCUUAACCCUAACCCUAGCUUCAUGUCCAAACCCCGGCUCAACCAUAACCCUAGCUUCAUGUCCAAACCCCAGCUCAACCUUAACCUUAACCCUAACCCUAGCUUCAUGUCCAAACCCCGGCUCAACCAUAACCCUAGCUUCAUGUCCAAACCCAGGCUCAACCCUAACCCUAACCCUAGCUUCAUGUCCAAACCCCGGCUCAACCCUAACCCUAACCCUAGCUUCAUGUCCAAACCCCGGCUCAACCCUAACCCUAACCCUAGCUUCAUGUCCAAACCCCAGCUCAACCUUAACCCUAACCCUAGCUUCAUGUCCAAACCCCAGCUCAACCUUAACCCUAACCCUAGCUUCAUGUCCAAACCCCAGCUCAACCUUAACCCUAACCCUAGCUUCAUGUCCAAACCCCAGCUCAACCUUAACCCUAACCCUAGCUUCAUGUUAAAACCCCAGCUCAACCAUAACCCUAGCUUCAUGUCCAAACCCCAGCUCAACCUUAACCCUAACCCUAGCUUCAUGUCCAAACCCCGGCUCAACCAUAACCCUAGCUUCAUGUCCAAACCCCAGCUCAACCUUAACCUUAACCCUAACCCUAGCUUCAUGUCCAAACCCCGGCUCAACCAUAACCCUAGCUUCAUGUCCAAACCCAGGCUCAACCCUAACCCUAACCCUAGCUUCAUGUCCAAAUCCCGGCUCAACCCUAACUCUAACCCUAGCUUCAUGUCCAAACCCCGGCUCAGCCCUAACCCUAACCCUAGCUUCAUGUCCAAACCCCGGCUCAACCCUAACCCUAACCCUAGCUUCAUGUCCAAACCCCGGCUCAACCCUAACCCUAGCUUAAUUUCCCAACCCUGGCUCAACCCUAACCCUAACCCUAACCCUAGCUUAAUUUCCCAACCCUGGCUCAACCCUAAUCCUAGUUUCAUGUCCAAACACCAGCUCAACCCUAAACCUAACCCUGGCUUCAUGUCCAAACCCCGGCUCAACCCUAACCCUAACCCUAGCUGA
Molecule: long non-coding RNA, 1230 nt
Filed under: Oncorhynchus mykiss (rainbow trout)
Lineage: Eukaryota; Metazoa; Chordata; Actinopteri; Salmoniformes; Salmonidae
Description: lncRNA (ENSOMYG00000054466.1)
Source: RNAcentral